This 301-nucleotide ribosomal RNA is filed under the name uncultured bacterium. Its description in RNAcentral is "partial 16S ribosomal RNA". It matches the Rfam family "Bacterial small subunit ribosomal RNA", at positions 509 to 807 of the family's 1533-position model. The record is from RNAcentral.
CAGUAGCCGCGGUAAAACGAGGGGGGCAAGCGUUGUUCGGAAUUAUUGGGCGUAAAGGGCGCGUAGGCGGUUUGGCAAGUUUCGUGUGAAAUCUUCGGGCUCAACUCGAAGUCUGCACGGAAAACUGCCGGGCUUGAGUAUGGGAGAGGUGAGUGGAAUUUCCGGUGUAGAGGUGAAAUUCGUAGAUAUCGGGAGGAACACCAGUGGCGAAGGCGGCGACCUGGGCCAAUAUUGACGCUGAGAUGCGAAAGCGUGGGGAGCAAACAGGAUUAGAUACCCGAGUAGUCCCUGUGUCUUAUAC